This 74-nucleotide transfer RNA is filed under the name Phaeovibrio sulfidiphilus. Its description in RNAcentral is "tRNA-Gly". It matches the Rfam family "tRNA". From Rfam's summary of the family: Transfer RNA (tRNA) molecules are approximately 80 nucleotides in length. Their secondary structure includes four short double-helical elements and three loops (D, anti-codon, and T loops). Lineage: Bacteria; Pseudomonadati; Pseudomonadota; Alphaproteobacteria; Rhodospirillales; Rhodospirillaceae. The record is from RNAcentral. RNAcentral also lists the same sequence under 7 other names.
GCGGGUGUAGCUUAAUGGUAAAGCCCCAGCCUUCCAAGCUGGUUACGUGGGUUCGAUUCCCAUCACCCGCUCCA